This 137-nucleotide small RNA is filed under the name Sinorhizobium meliloti 2011. RNAcentral's name for it is "putative ncRNA". Lineage: Bacteria; Pseudomonadati; Pseudomonadota; Alphaproteobacteria; Hyphomicrobiales; Rhizobiaceae. The record is from RNAcentral.
GCAACGACACAUCUUCUAGCCUAGCCAUUGCUUGUAGUGGGCUUUGCGGUGGACCGUAUUUCCGUGUCCUUGCUCUAUAUUGCGAAAAUCCAAUUGGUACAGGAGCCCUGACCGGAGACGGUCAGGGCUCCUGCCUC